This 3418-nucleotide long non-coding RNA is filed under the name Mus musculus (house mouse). Its description in RNAcentral is "predicted gene 11454 (Gm11454)". Lineage: Eukaryota; Metazoa; Chordata; Mammalia; Rodentia; Muridae. The record is from RNAcentral.
ACUCGGCGCCCAGCCAGACUAAGCACAGCCCAGUGACCCUGUUUCCAGCUGAGAUGAGAUUCUCAGUUCCCACAGUGAACGCUGUGACAGCUCUUCUCUGAGGACACAAUUUGAUCUGGAAUAUACUUCUAAUAGUUCUUCCUUUAUAAUUUGUGGAGGGGCAGAGCUGAGGAUCGAACCCAGGGCCUUACACUUGCUAGGCAAACGCUCUACCGUUGAGCUAAAUCCUCAACACUGCUGUCUCUUCUGAUGGACACUUUGGCCCACAGAAUGCUGGAGAGAACUCGUAGUUGGAACUACUCAUGCUGCAGAAGGGGAAACUGAGGCACAAGGAGUCAGGGAACUCUCUGAUAAGUACUAAGUCCUUUACCCUCCUGUUUUUUCCAAAGCUGGGAUUUAGAUAGAAGUCUCUGAUUGUAUUAGCCCUGCCCCUUUAGAUGGAAGUCUCUAUCAUUCACAGUCACUCCAAGGCCAGAGGAUGUCUGCAGCAUGGGAUGAAAGUCACACAUAUGAAGAACUAAAGUCAAAAGAUGAUGUAAUGAAACAAGAUGCGGUGGGUGCCGUUAGAAGUCACAACACUGUGAUAUUUGAAGAUAGCACCGUCUGGAUUUUUUUCCCCUCCUCUCCGUAUCAGGACUUGCCUAUAAUGAGCAAUAGCUCAGCCCGUGUCUGUCUUCACUAUCUCCCCUUCACCCCCACCCCCAACCAGCGUUUAUGAAAGUAGCAAUUGCUUCUGAGAAAAAGAAAACCGCUGGAGCUUGAAGCUCCUGCUGGAAGCCACUGCUUGCCUCAGUCUGUGGAAACCCAGACGCUAGAAAUCGGAGUUUUGCCGCGCUUCACCUUGCCAACGUGUGCUCGGGAGUUUUAUUUUUAUAAGGUCAGAGAGUUCUCUGCAAGACUCAGCACACUGGCUGGAGAGGGAUGGCUGCAUGCCCCCCCCCUCUCUUUCUGUGUGUGUAUGUGAGCUGUGUGGGCAGGUGUGAGUUGUGUAGCUGUUUACACAGGCUACACACACCUGAAUCUCCUGGGUUCGGCCCCCUUUUGUUAGUUAUUGGCACCAUUUCGCCCCUGAGUCUCUAGAGGCUCUCCUUUCUUUCUAUCUGGCUGGCCCUCACCUUGGCCUGGACACUGCCUUCUGUCUGCCUUUACUCCCUGUGCCAUGGAAGGUGUGACGCUGUGACUUCCCCACCCCCAGUUUUCCUCCUGGUGUGAAUCUGUGACCCUUGCCACUUCCCACCAGCUUUCUUCCUGGCACCCCAGCAAGUGGCUCCCUGACCUUGGCUGCUCAUUAGAAUCUUGAGAUCCUGUGUUGAAUAAACCAGAACACACAUCAUGGGGUCUAGUCAGCUUGGACGUUCUUUUGGGUGACUUCCCCUUUGAGUCUUAGAAAACACCAAUCUUGACCACACCCCUUGGAUUUCUUCUCCACCUCAGCUCUUCCCCUGGUUAACUUCCAGGGUCCUCUAAGACCCACCGAGACGUUACAUUCUCUGUGAAGCCUUCCCUAACUCCUGUAGUCUGAAUUACGAGUAUUUACCCAUCCAUCCACCCAACCAUCUAUCCAUCCACCUAUCAUCUAGCUAGCUAGCCAUCCAUCCAUUCAUCCCUCUCUUCAGCAAGUACUGAGUGCUUUCUGGUAUCUUGUGUUGGGUCAUGGAGACAACUUAGCAGAAAGAGAUUUGAGGAGUCUCUGGCAUGGCUUAGGGAGACAGGAAAGGGUCUCUAGAGAAAAUGGAAUUUGGGGGUGAUCUGAAGGCUUGCAGGAGUUAGCUAUAGAAGGGGUGAGGGCAGAUAAAGGAUUGAGUUGUGUCAUAGGGGAAGGGUUAGAGGAAGGAGUGAGGUUCUGCCCCUUACAGCAUGGUGUAUCUGCGAGCAGAAGCUACUCAGUGUGCAUUAGUUCAGUGAAAAGCCACGGCUAAAGGGCUAGUGGGAGUCUGUGGAACACAGUGGGUGAAAAAUCAGAGGGUAGAGAGGAUGAUGGGGCGUCUCCUUGUGCUUCCCAGAGAAUAUAGGUAAAGAGGAAGCACAGAGCCAAAGAGGAAAUGAGUAUUCCCAUUUCCCAGAUGCAGAAAAUGGAUAGCUAGUAUGUCUAGCAGGAGAUUGUCAGGGCUGGCAUGAACACAGGCAGGUGGCUCUGGAGUACACAUGUUCAGCCAAUGAACCAUGCAGCCUUGGCCCAAGCUACUGCCUAACCAGAGCUGGAUGCUCCUCUGUGCUCUCUCUUAGCAGCCAAGCUCUGGCUUGGGUCUGACUCCUCAGGCUAUAGGAGACUGGGGGACCAGGGAGAACUGAAGAAAGAUUUGAAUUUGCAAUAACAUUCAAGAGGAAGGAAUUUCAGUAGGAAAUAUUUUUUUUAAAGGGAGUUGAGAGUCUUUUGAAGAAUAACAAGUCUUCUACAUUGAAGGAUACAAGGGCCGUGCCAGUGAGCCUUUCUUGAGUGCUGAGCCUGACGGUGCAGCCUUGAGUCCCGGUGCCUCCCUCUGUCACUGCUACCUAUGUUCCCAGACUUUGGAAGCCAUCUCAGAUGCCUCGCCCCUCAUCUCCAUGUUUUACGAAGGUUUCACUUACAAGUGGUAAAACGCACCGGUUUAAGCAUUGAGUGUUACAACUGGUUUUUUAAACAGUAAAUCCUGGGUGUUUUUGUUUUUGUUUAAUCCGGAGUUUCCAUGUUCUCUACACCUGUUUUUCCUUGAUGUUAAUGUCUCUCCCAUUACCAUAAUACACAUGCAUGGUACGUAAGACACUUGCAUGGGCACGUGGUUAGGAGCAGAGUUCCAGACUGCAUUUGGAUUUUACUAGCUUCUCCAUGUGCAGCUCUGUCUGUUUCAGGACCCCAGGCUGCAUUCAGAUCUCAUGACUUCUUAGCCUUGUCUGCUCUGUGACAGUUCUCCGUCUCUUCACUUGUUGUGAUCUCGACAGCCAUUUUUGCCAAGUGUAUCUCCAUUGGGGGUUAACUGGUGUUUUGUUUGAGAUCAGACUGGAGUUACGGGUUACGGGGAGGAGACACAGACAUCGGGAGCACAUGGUGUCCACGUGACUUCCACUGGGGAUCCAGAGCACUUUUGUAUGUUUUCAUGUGUGUGCAGAUAUACAUGUGUGUGCUGCUGCCCGUGUAUACUGGUCAGUUUUUAUUAUCCAGUUGAAACGAGUCACCUAGGAAGGAGUGAUCUCAACUGAGGAGUUGCCUCCAUCAGAUCAGCCUAUGGUCGUGCCCGCGGUUUUCUGGACUGCUAAUUGAUAGAGCAGCCCAGUGUGAGUGGUGCUGUCCAGGCAGGUGGUCCUGGCUUGUAUAAGAAAGCUGACUGAGCAUGCUCUGUAGGAGCCGGUGUGCAGCGGGUUUCUGAGUUAAGUCCCUGCCUUGAGUUUCUGCCCUGACUGACCUGGAACUAUCAGAUGAAAUAAAUGCUUCUCUAUCCCA